GCGAUUGUAAAACGUGAAGGAUAACGUUGCGUAAGCAACGGCCCGUAGGGCGAGGCAAAGCCGAGUCAUCCUGCACGACCCACCA
This 85-nucleotide small RNA is filed under the name Citrobacter freundii. RNAcentral describes it as "partial RtT sRNA". It matches the Rfam family "RtT RNA", at positions 43 to 130 of the family's 130-position model. Rfam says of the family: This family represents a bacterial cis-regulatory element known as RtT RNA. The exact function of RtT is unknown although it is thought that it may be involved in changing the cellular response in relation to amino acid starvation. Lineage: Bacteria; Pseudomonadati; Pseudomonadota; Gammaproteobacteria; Enterobacterales; Enterobacteriaceae. The record is from RNAcentral.